GCGGAGAGGAAACACCCGUUCCCAUCCCGAACACGGAAGUUAAGCUCUCCAGCGCCGAUGGUAGUUGGGGCCAGCGCCCCUGCAAGAGUAGGUCGUCGCUAGGC
Molecule: ribosomal RNA, 104 nt
Filed under: Geobacillus subterraneus
Lineage: Bacteria; Bacillati; Bacillota; Bacilli; Caryophanales; Anoxybacillaceae
Source: RNAcentral